RNA transcript from Spinacia oleracea (spinach), 1096 nucleotides. It is a transcript of the gene named cyclin-B1-4-like, with no coding region annotated. NCBI's taxonomy places the organism in Eukaryota, Viridiplantae, Streptophyta, Magnoliopsida, Caryophyllales, Amaranthaceae. The transcript is spliced from 3 exons. The record is from RefSeq and is a predicted model, not a curated record.
AAUCUAAACUCCAAUACUAAUCAACCCUAGCCACCCGCCCAUUCAUCUUCUCUCUCCUCCCUAUCCUCCAGGAACUUGAAAAGCAUCAAUAAAUUCUCGUCUCAAAUCCAUCAAUGGGAAAAUCCAAAUUCGUUUCUCUCUCCUAAUACUAUGCUGCUUCAUCUUCCCCACUUGUUAAUUCGCCGCCAUUGAAAAAGAAGCACAAAAGAGGAGCUCAUGGAAGAACUGCUACUCAAACCGUCGCUCCGUCGUCAAUAAUACUGCAGAAAUCUACUAUUUUUUAAAUCUAAAUCAAAAAUGAGAUUUUUCUGUGUUGACCCUAUUCACUCCAGGUAAUUGUAUUUAUUUAUUUUACUUCAAUGUUAGAUUUUUUUCCUUAAAUUUUUUUAAGGAUCGACACCCUUUAAGAUGAAUUUGAGUCCCUUUGUUUUGUUCCUGGUGAAUUAUAGAUCUGGUGUUGUGUUUAUGAGUUUCUUUUUUUUUUCUGUUUCAAAAAAAUUGGUUUUCUCUCUUCAAUUUGUCGAGUAUUUUGGGAAUUAGGGUUAUUGAUUUUGUUUCUAUUAUUUUGGUUUGAUUCAUGAUGAUGAGGAGGGACCCUGAACAAUCCGCAGAUUCUAUUAUGAAUUCAAACCUGAUACGACAGAUGCUCCAAAGACCAAGCACAGGAUCAAGAUAAUUUUCCAUUGCUCAAAACUUUUGAAGAUUAUGUUCAAGUAUUCCUCUGUGCAUUGAAUAGUAAAUGUUCUGACAUCUUUGAGUUCCGCAUUUACUACCUAUGUUCUGGUUCAGGAUGCAUUUGGAGAUAAUGGUGGUGGAAGAAAAGAAUCAAGUGGUGAUGCAUAGCUCCUUCAACUAUGAAGCUGAUAUUCUUGAACUUUGUAUUGAGUGGCCUUUGUUUUGAAGAUGAUAUUUUAGAAUAAUAAUAUUAUAAUAGUAGAUAGGAUGUUUUGGGUAUUAAAUUUGUGUUUGAGAUACUAGCUAGUUAAUUUAAUAGUUUGGAUAAUAGGUAAACUUAAUUUGAUGAUAUAAUUUGGAGCGAGCUAGUAUGUAUUAUUACAUUUAGAUAUAUAUAAUAUAUAUUAGUAUCUUUACGUUA